RNAcentral lists this ribosomal RNA (397 nucleotides) under uncultured bacterium. Its description in RNAcentral is "partial 16S ribosomal RNA". It matches the Rfam family "Bacterial small subunit ribosomal RNA", at positions 523 to 918 of the family's 1533-position model. The record is from RNAcentral.
AUACGUAGGUGGCAAGCGUUGUCCGGAUUUAUUGGGCGUAAAGCGAGCGCAGGCGGUCUCUUAAGUCUGAUGUGAAAGCCCCCGGCUCAACCGGGGAGGGUUAUUGGAAACUGGGAGACUUGAGUGCAGAAGAGGAGAGUGGAAUUCCAUGUGUAGCGGUGAAAUGCGUAGAUAUAUGGAGGAACACCAGUGGCGAAGGCGGCGCUCUGGUCUGUAACUGACGCUGAGGCUCGAAAGCGUGGGGAGCAAACAGGAUUAGAUACCCUGGUAGUCCACGCCGUAAACGAUGAGUGCUAAGUGUUGGAGGGUUUCCGCCCUUCAGUGCUGCAGCUAACGCAUUAAGCACUCCGCCUGGGGAGUACGGCCGCAAGGCUGAAACUCAAAGGAAUUGACGGGG